GAUGAAGAACGUAGCGAAAUGCGAUAAGUGAUGUGAAUUGCAGAAUUCAGUGAAUCAUCGAAUCUUUGAACGCACAUUGCGCCCACUAGUAUUCUGGUGGGCAUGCCUGUUCGAGCGUCAUUUCAACCCUCAAGCCUGGCUUGGUGUUGGGGCUCUGCGCCUGCAGGCCCUCAAAUCCAGUGGCGGACACGCUAGGUCUCCGAGCGCAGUAGUUUCUCCUCGCUCAGGACGGCCGGCGUGGGCUUGCCUCGCACCCAUCUUCCACAAGGUUGACCUCGGAUCAGGUAGGAAUACCCGCUGAACUUAAGCAUAUCAAUAAGCGGAGGA
RNAcentral lists this unclassified non-coding RNA (327 nucleotides) under soil metagenome. RNAcentral's name for it is "partial contains 5.8S ribosomal RNA, internal transcribed spacer 2, and large subunit ribosomal RNA". The stretch from base 1 to 120 matches the Rfam family "5.8S ribosomal RNA", at positions 35 to 154 of the family's 154-position model. The record is from RNAcentral.